This 878-nucleotide ribosomal RNA is filed under the name uncultured bacterium. Its description in RNAcentral is "bacterial SSU rRNA". It matches the Rfam family "Bacterial small subunit ribosomal RNA", at positions 1 to 890 of the family's 1533-position model. The record is from RNAcentral.
GGCUUAGAGUUUGAUCAUGGCUCAGGACGAACGCUGGCGGCGCGCCUAACACAUGCAAGUCGAACGGAAUGCGGAGAGGAUUUAUCUUUUCUGUGUUUAGUGGCGAACGGGUGAGUAACGCGUGAGGAACCUGCCUCAAAGAGGGGGACAACAGUUGGAAACGACUGCUAAUACCGCAUAAGCCCACGGGGCCGCAUGGCCCUGAGGGAAAAGGAGCAAUCCGCUUUGAGAUGGCCUCGCGUCCGAUUAGCUGGUUGGUGAGGUAACGGCCCACCAAGGCGACGAUCGGUAGCCGGACUGAGAGGUUGAACGGCCACAUUGGGACUGAGACACGGCCCAGACUCCUACGGGAGGCAGCAGUGGGGAAUAUUGCACAAUGGGGGAAACCCUGAUGCAGCGACGCCGCGUGGAGGAAGAAGGUCUUCGGAUUGUAAACUCCUGUUGUUGGGGAAAAGAAGGAUGGUACCCAACAAGGAAGUGACGGCUAACUACGUGCCAGCAGCCGCGGUAAAACGUAGGUCACGAGCGUUGUCCGGAAUUACUGGGUGUAAAGGGAGCGCAGGCGGGUAUGCAAGUUGGGAGUGAAAUGCAUGGGCUCAACCCAUGAACUGCUCUCAAAACUGCGUAUCUUGAGUAGUGCAGAGGUAGGCGGAAUUCCCGGUGUAGCGGUGGAAUGCGUAGAUAUCGGGAGGAACACCAGUGGCGAAGGCGGCCUACUGGGCACCAACUGACGCUGAGGCUCGAAAGUGUGGGUAGCAAACAGGAUUAGAUACCCUGGUAGUCCACACCGUANACGAUGAUUACUAGGUGUUGGAGGAUAGACCCCUUCAGUGCCGCAGUUAACACAAUAAGUAAUCCACCUGGGGAGUACGACCGCA